RNAcentral lists this ribosomal RNA (370 nucleotides) under uncultured bacterium. RNAcentral describes it as "bacterial SSU rRNA". It matches the Rfam family "Bacterial small subunit ribosomal RNA", at positions 32 to 412 of the family's 1533-position model. The record is from RNAcentral.
AAUCAACGCUGGCGGCGUGCCUAACACAUGCAAGUCGCACGAGAAAGUGGAGCAAUCCAUGAGUAAAGUGGCGCACGGGUGAGUAACACGUGAAUAAUCUACCUCCGAGUGGGGAAUAACUGAGAGAAAUCUUAGCUAAUACCGCAUAAUACCCACGGGUCAAAGCAGCAAUGCGCUUGGAGAGGAGUUCGCGGCCGAUUAGCUAGUUGGCGGGGUAANGGCCCACCAAGGCAAUGAUCGGUAUCCGGCCUGAGAGGGCGCACGGACACACUGGAACUGAAACACGGUCCAGACUCCUACGGGAGGCAGCAGUGGGGAAUUUUGCGCAAUGGGGGAAACCCUGACGCAGCAACGCCGCGUGGAGGAUGAA